GAAUACGUUCCCGGGUCUUGUACACACCGCCCGUCAAAUCAUGGGAGUCGGAAGUACCCAAAGUCGCUUGGCUAACUUUUAGAGGCCGGUGCCUAAGGUAAAAUCGAUGACUGGGAUUAAGUCGUAACAAGGUAGCCGUAGGAGAACCUGCGGCUGGAUCACCUCCUUUCUAAGGA
This 176-nucleotide ribosomal RNA is filed under the name Oenococcus oeni. RNAcentral's name for it is "partial 16S ribosomal RNA". It matches the Rfam family "Bacterial small subunit ribosomal RNA", at positions 1364 to 1533 of the family's 1533-position model. Lineage: Bacteria; Bacillati; Bacillota; Bacilli; Lactobacillales; Lactobacillaceae. The record is from RNAcentral.